Molecule: ribosomal RNA, 389 nt
Filed under: uncultured bacterium
Lineage: Bacteria
Description: bacterial SSU rRNA
Rfam family: Bacterial small subunit ribosomal RNA
Source: RNAcentral
GACGAACGCUGGCGGCGUGCUUAACACAUGCAAGUCGAGCGGUAAGGCCCUUUCGGGGGUACACGAGCGGCGAACGGGUGAGUAACACGUGGGUGACCUGCCCUUAGCUCUGGGAUAAGCCUGGGAAACUGGGUCUAAUACCGGAUAUGACCUCAUGACGCAUGUUGUGGGGUGGAAAGCCUUGUGCGGCUAGGGAUGGGCCCGCGGCCUAUCAGCUUGUUGGUGGGGUGAUGGCCUACCAAGGCGACGACGGGUAGCCGGCCUGAGAGGGCGACCGGCCACACUGGGACUGAGACACGGCCCAGACUCCGUACGGGAGGCAGCAGGUGGGGAAUCUUGCGCAAGUGGGCGAAAGCCUGACGCAGCGACGCCGCGUGAGGGAUGACGCU